CUAAUCACCACCUGCUUUUAAACUCUGCUUUGAAGACUACUCGUCACCACAUGAUUCCAGCUUCCACAGUGGUUUCUUGGUCUGCCUCUCCUAAAGUUAUUGCAACUUUGAUGAAUAUUUACGUGUGUUUUAACUUACCAGUGUCUAAUCCCUGCUGUUAAACUUUUCUCCUCCAGCGCUUCCGCCAGCCAACAGCAUUUGCCCAGCCUCUGCCAUGACUGCCACACCCUCUCAUGGAUUCACUCACCUGCGGUGUACUCAAGCCCUAACUAUUCCCUUCCCCCUCCUCACCACGGAUCUCUUCUACUCCCUGGACCUCAGAGCUCACUUUCACAACCAACAAAGCUAUCAAUAAAAUCUCUUAAAACU
This is a non-coding RNA of Xyrichtys novacula (pearly razorfish), 369 nucleotides long. The record is from the annotation of a GenBank genome assembly. Lineage: Eukaryota; Metazoa; Chordata; Actinopteri; Labriformes; Labridae.